This is a long non-coding RNA of Lactuca sativa (garden lettuce), 1797 nucleotides long. RefSeq lists it as uncharacterized. The record is from RefSeq and is a predicted model, not a curated record. NCBI's taxonomy places the organism in Eukaryota, Viridiplantae, Streptophyta, Magnoliopsida, Asterales, Asteraceae.
ACGUCUCUCUCUCUCUCUCACUAAAACCCCAAAAUGGGGUAAAACUCUAAUCUCUAAUCUCUCUUACCCUUUCUCUCGAUCCACAGGUCUGGUGAUAUGUUGAACAAGGUCAUGAUGUAAACAGAAGAGAACGAUGAACAUGGUUCUAUUGAAUCUGAUUGUAACGUGCAAGUGGUACCUGAUUUGAAGAACAUGGGUGUGGAGAUGAUGGGUGGAGGUGGUUGCAUCUAAUGCUCGUGGCAUGAACUUUGAAGGUGAAAACAGGGCUUUGAUUGCCCAGUAACAUUGAUUUUCAUUAUAAAUUUCAAGUAGAAUCCUUUGAGGUAUAGGAGCAAGAUUUACUCAAUUUUAACUUUCUUCGAUCAACCAUAAGUGGGUUUAUCAAAUUAUCUGUAAAGACGACGUUGUCACAAAAUGUUGAGGAUUACAGUGGGUUUGUUGCAAGGAUCAUUGUUGUAGGAUCAAGUCAGUUAAUGAAGGGGGUUUUGUGGAGUGGGGAUGUGACUAUAGAUCGAUUAAAAUGGGGAAACGAGUUCUUGAAGAAGGGGAUGAAGAUGUAAGAGGGUGUAGCAACGGGGAUUCUUUCUAGUGUUGUGAACGAUCUUGAUUCAUCACAAGUUCUCUCAUGAACUCCAAACCCAAUAAUAAUUUCUUCAACUUUAUCCCUAGUGAAAUAAUUUUCGAGUAUACGAGAUCCAAACCAGAAAGAAAAGGAGAGGAUAUCGGACAUGAAUGUGUCGAUGAUGGAAUCGUUAUCAGAGCACAAGGUCCGGGAGAUCCAAAUCAGAACACCAGAUACAGUGGGUGUCUUGCGAUUCGAUGAGAGGUAUAGAGUGCUUGGGUUUGGCAGAUUUUGUGUUCGUCUGCGUGUGUAUGUGUUUUGAGAUCCCUGAAUUAGGUUGAAUUGGAGGAUUGUUGAUCGAUUUAGUUUUAAUGUGUUGGAGAAGAAACAUUUCAAUCGAGAGAGAGAGAGAGAGAGAGAGAGAGAGAGAGAGAGAGAGAGAGAGAGAGAGAGAGAGAGAGAGAGAGAGAGAGAGAGAGGAUAAUUAUUUUCUUUUCCUUUUAUUUUUAAAUUAAAAUAGUAUUUGAAAAAAUUAAAAAAAUAUAUAAAAAAGAAAGUAAAGGGGUAUAACCGUCUUUUCAUGUUUUUUGAACCAAAAACACAAAAAAAAACUUUGAUUUUAAACCUUCUAUGCAAGUGAAAAACUUUUUAGAUCGUAUUCAAAGUUUUUUAAAUAUUACAGAGACCAAUCUUGUAGUUUUGUCAUGUUUUUAAAUGUAUAGUAGUGUGUAAUGCUUCGUAAAUAGUGUUCUUUUAAUUUGAAAAACAUUUAAGUUUUUAUUUUUUUUUCAAUUCCAAAAGCAUAAAAAAUGUGGGUGAAAUGAAGAAGCUGACUUGGCGGUUGUGUAUUGGAUAAGAUGAUAUGAAAAAGCGGAAAUUUCUAGGGACCCACCCAGCUGGGAUGAGCUGACUCAGGUUCGAGUUGAUCCAACAAAUUGGUAAUUUAAGUCUGAGUCAGCACCAUGAAAUUUUGUGGCUAGUUGAGCUUUAGACGGCUGACACGCCCUUACGUGAUUGUGGUCGGCGAUUUUUUUUUAUCUUUUUUCAUUUCAUUAUAAAUAUUUUGUUUAAAUAUGUACUUUCUAGAUCCAGCUAAGAAACGUAUUUUAUAUUAUUUAAAAUGGUAAUUAUAUCAGAAAAACACUACCAUUACAAAUCAAUUAUUGUAAAAAAAAUACUAAUAGCAAGCAAAAACUACUAUAGGAAAUCACAAAAAUAUUUUAUAUUAAUUAUUU